AGAGUUUGAUCCUGGCUCAGGAUGAACGCUGGCGGCGUGCCUAAUACAUGCAAGUCGAGCGAACGGACGAGAAGCUUGCUUCUCUGAUGUUAGCGGCGGACGGGUGAGUAACACGUGGAUAACCUACCUAUAAGACUGGGAUAACUUCGGGAAACCGGAGCUGAUACCGGAUAAUAUUUUGAACCGCAUGGUUCAAAAGUGAAAGACGGUCUUGCUGUCACUUAUAGAUGGAUCCGCGCUGCAUUAGCUAGUUGGUAAGGUAACGGCUUACCAAGGCAACGAUGCAUAGCCGACCUGAGAGGGUGAUCGGCCACACUGGAACUGAGACACGGUCCAGACUCCUACGGGAGGCAGCAGUAGGGAAUCUUCCGCAAUGGGCGAAAGCCUGACGGAGCAACGCCGCGUGAGUGAUGAAGGUCUUCGGAUCGUAAAACUCUGUUAUUAGGGAAGAACAUAUGUGUAAGUAACUGUGCACAUCUUGACGGUACCUAAUCAGAAAGCCACGGCUAACUACGUGCCAGCAGCCGCGGUAAUACGUAGGUGGCAAGCGUUAUCCGGAAUUAUUGGGCGUAAAGCGCGCGUAGGCGGUUUUUUAAGUCUGAUGUGAAAGCCCACGGCUCAACCGUGGAGGGUCAUUGGAAACUGGAAAACUUGAGUGCAGAAGAGGAAAGUGGAAUUCCAUGUGUAGCGGUGAAAUGCGCAGAGAUAUGGAGGAACACCAGUGGCGAAGGCGACUUUCUGGUCUGUAACUGACGCUGAUGUGCGAAAGCGUGGGGAUCAAACAGGAUUAGAUACCCUGGUAGUCCACGCCGUAAACGAUGAGUGCUAAGUGUUAGGGGGUUUCCGCCCCUUAGUGCUGCAGCUAACGCAUUAAGCACUCCGCCUGGGGAGUACGACCGCAAGGUUGAAACUCAAAGGAAUUGACGGGGACCCGCACAAGCGGUGGAGCAUGUGGUUUAAUUCGAAGCAACGCGAAGAACCUUACCAAAUCUUGACAUCCUUUGACAACUCUAGAGAUAGAGCCUUCCCCUUCGGGGGACAAAGUGACAGGUGGUGCAUGGUUGUCGUCAGCUCGUGUCGUGAGAUGUUGGGUUAAGUCCCGCAACGAGCGCAACCCUUAAGCUUAGUUGCCAUCAUUAAGUUGGGCACUCUAAGUUGACUGCCGGUGACAAACCGGAGGAAGGUGGGGAUGACGUCAAAUCAUCAUGCCCCUUAUGAUUUGGGCUACACACGUGCUACAAUGGACAAUACAAAGGGCAGCGAAACCGCGAGGUCAAGCAAAUCCCAUAAAGUUGUUCUCAGUUCGGAUUGUAGUCUGCAACUCGACUACAUGAAGCUGGAAUCGCUAGUAAUCGUAGAUCAGCAUGCUACGGUGAAUACGUUCCCGGGUCUUGUACACACCGCCCGUCACACCACGAGAGUUUGUAACACCCGAAGCCGGUGGAGUAACCUUUUAGGAGCUAGCCGUCGAAGGUGGGACAAAUGAUUGGGGUGAAGUCGUAACAAGGUAGCCGUAUCGGAAGGUGCGGCUGGAUCACCU
This 1540-nucleotide ribosomal RNA is filed under the name Staphylococcus aureus M62699. RNAcentral describes it as "16S ribosomal RNA". It matches the Rfam family "Bacterial small subunit ribosomal RNA". The record is from RNAcentral. Lineage: Bacteria; Bacillati; Bacillota; Bacilli; Caryophanales; Staphylococcaceae.